AUUUUAUUUUCUUUCUUUCUUUU
RNAcentral lists this small RNA (23 nucleotides) under Arabidopsis thaliana (thale cress). Its description in RNAcentral is "ATSL306110". Lineage: Eukaryota; Viridiplantae; Streptophyta; Magnoliopsida; Brassicales; Brassicaceae. The record is from RNAcentral.